Molecule: long non-coding RNA, 933 nt
Filed under: Homo sapiens (human)
Lineage: Eukaryota; Metazoa; Chordata; Mammalia; Primates; Hominidae
Description: non-protein coding lnc-PRSS55-1:5
Source: RNAcentral
ACCUCAGCCUCCCAAAGUGCUGGGAUUACAGGCAUGAGGCACCACAUUCGGCCAAAGUUCUAUGUCUGGUCACAGCCAUUUACAUUCAUCAGAAUUCACAGAACCAUCCAUCCUGAAGUGGUGAAUUUGCUGAAUAGAAAUUAUACCUCAAAGACCAGACGUUCAAAAAUGCCUUUGUGUUUUGUAAGCUUCAACACUCGCCCAGUGGGAACCACAAAAGCGUUGCCCAAUUUGUUGAAAGCAUUGCUGUUAUAACUUCAGCGUGUGGGGAGAAGUUAUGUUUUCAUACUGUCUUUGUCUGCUCUGGCCACCGUUACAAAACACCAUAGACUGGGUGGACUGAUCAACACGCAUUUCUUUCCCACAGUGGAGGCUGGAAGUCCCCAAGACCCAGGUUCCUGGGGAGGGCUUUCUUCCUAGCCUGCAGGUGACCAACAUCUGCUGUGUCCUCUUGUGACUCUUCCUCAGUUCCUGUGCCAGAGGGGUCGGGGGACAAGUGGGCGUCCAUCUUGUAAGUGUCCUCAUAAGGCCACCAUCCUGUCAACCAGGGCACCACCCUAUACCUUAGUUAACCUUAAUGACUUCCUUGGUGGCCCCCCGUCCCGUUGCAGCCAGGGUUAAGCUUCAGCGUGCAAAGUGAAAGGCCACACAAAUCUUUGUCCGUAACAAAUGCCCCGUGGACAGGACACUCCGGUGCCCUGAGGCUGCAGGAGCUGAGGGUGAUCUUGCUCAGGUACUUCUGGUGGUACCUGCUGUAUGGGGAAGAAGUCUGUUCCUCCUGGCUGGUGUCAGAAGUAACCAGGCUGAAGCCAUGCUCUGAAAGAACCUGUGCAGGGAGAGAAAGACCUGUUUGAGACCGACCUGAAAGCUCUCGCAGGGGAAAGAACAGCCUCUUUAGGUGCUUCCAUGAAAGGUGAUUAAUGGGGAAGGACU